UCUGAGUAAUUAUGAUAAGAAACAAACAACGUCCGAAAACCCCAGGUAAUUUUUCUUUUCAAAUUACUUGUAUUUGUAAAUAUGCACUGGUUGAUCAUUGAUUAUUCUUGCAACUCAAACCAAUAAUGAAAAUUUUAAAUAGUUUCUAUAUUAAGGCGAUUCGUCCCAGUUUCUGGCUUGGUUGAACUAGAGUGCGUUGUAUCACAACGAUUAUGUAAAAAACCUUUGCAGAUUUUGAAUGUUUAACGAAAAUAGGAUGAGAGCUCCAGCAAAUGAGCCUAAGGAAUCAUUCUAAACCAAAAAAUUGGCAAAAUUUAGAGAAAUGAAACGAGGAUUCUUUUUGGAAAAAAACCUUGCGUUUGAAAUAGUUAUCGAUCUCUAUGUUGCUGUCUGCCAUACUAUUCACUGUAUCUCAUCUCUUGUCUAAUUUCCACAAUAAUUUUUUUCACAGUUCAUCUGACGGUGCUGCUGCAAGUGGCUCAACGAACAACUACACUGGUGUAAUUCGGAAACAAAAGGCAGGAAGAACUAACAAUCUAAUCAACCAACCUUAUCAGAUCCCGGAAGAAGUACCAGGCACCUCUUCCUCCAGGGAAACCAGCAGGACAGACUAGAAAAUUUUCAUGCUAAUAAACCGUAGAACCUUUCGUCAAUGAUGAAGAUGGUAAUAUUUUUUUCUUGGAAGUUUCAAGUUUAUCUUAAUUUGUUCCUUUUUUCUGGCACUCAUAAUUUUAGUGAACUUAAUUGAUAAUGUAGAGCGUUGCCUAUGAGAAUGGAGAGGCCGUAACUACGUUCAUGUGACGUCACGCUAGUAGAUGAAACUCGGCCGCGGUUUAACAUGUGUUCAUAUGGGAGAACGCCUGAUGCAUGUUUCUUUCGUGCUGAUAUCUUCCUCGGGGGUUGAUCCGAUGCAAAAAUUCAUAAGAACCUUUUCGAAAGAAGAUGAAAUUUCACUUCAGAAAAGUAACUAACCCAUUUGUGACAGUGUCUAAUAAUUGAGGAAAUGAAAGCGAAAAACCGAAAAUUGUUACUCCUCUCAGAUUCAAACGCGCCGCUCACGCAACUUCGGCUGAUCGAGAGCCACUCUGAUUGGUCAACGCAAUGACUGCCUCACUCACCGAUGCACCGAUGACCCGGAGAUGCUUGUUGUAUUCGGUAAAUAUCUAUUUGCUUGACGUCACAAAACUGACUAGUUACGGCCUCUCCAUUCUCAUAGGCAACGUGCAGAGGUGUCUCUUACCGACGAAGACUGCUCAAUUUUGCUGAUGAGAUUACACCAGUAUUUUACCAUAUUGUAUUUAAGAUUGAUGCUGUAAGACUUAGUUAUGGGCAUUUAGACGAUGAAAUGAGUGAAGGCAAUACGCAGCAUGUUUUGUCUUCAAAAUUUCCCAAGGAAAACGAAUUACAAUCUAACUUUCAUCUGAUUUUUGUUAAAAAUAUUUGUUAAUAUCUCGUUUAGGAGCUUUGAUUUCCGAACUUCCCAUUUUGUCAAUAGUUUUCUAUGUAAGAUUUUCUACUUUAGAUCUUUUCUAAUGGCCCAUUUUAAGAGACUAGGGGGUCUGCCCCAGUGACCCCUGGCCGCUUCAGGGCCAGCGAAAUCGUCGAAAUCACCCGUUGGCGGUUAAUGAGCAAAUAAUUUUAAUUGAGUCACAAAACGAUGUUUCAAAGAAAAUUUCCUGCCAAACAAUAUUCUUAAUGACUUUCUCCUUGUUCUGAAUUUUAAUUCCUUCUUUGGAAGUUGACCUUCAGACUGUCUUACCCUCCUUCCUUACCCCGUCCAUCGGGCGUUUUAAAAAUUAUUUUAUUAUAUAGAGAAGAUACUAACCCAUGCUUUCCUUCUUUAACCAAUGAAAUAAAAUAAAACCAAAAAAGCUCAUUUCAAUUUUCUUUUAGUACUCAACAUGCACAUGUAUUGAAGUUUUACUUGCAAAACUGGUAAAAGAGCAAGCACUCCUCUCUCAGUGAAAGUGUGCUGCAUUUAUGCCAUGUUUUUCUUAGUUAUUUGUUUAUUUAUUAUUUUGUAACUUUAUUUUAAGCAAGGGAUGAAGUGAAGUACAGAAAUCAAAAUGCCCAUUUCAUUUAAGUAAAUUAUUUUGUUUUACAUUAUCCCUCACCUCAACCCAUAUUUUUUUCAGAUGUCUCAGAUGAUCGUAACUGCCUCUCUUCAAUUAUGUUUUCGCCAUUUGUCCUCAGGAUAGUUAUAUCAUCCCAUUCAGUAUGUAUCAUCUAAUUUAGUCAGCUUCUAUAAUAAUGAAUCACUGUAUUUUUUUAUGUAUUUUUAGGUUUUAAACCUAUUCUAAAACUGCUUUUUGCCAAUGAUUUUCACUAAUCGUGGCAAUCUGUACAAAAUCUGAGAGGGUAUUCCAUGCCCAAUGAAUAUAUCAUUGGUGAUAUGGGGUAAAAUAACUCUCUCUAAGUUGAUACUUAAGUUAUUUAAGAAUGAAAUUUUCCAAAAUCCAAGCGGUGCUCUUCAGUUUGUUCAGCUUGGGUCAUUUUUAUGAGUGAAAUACUGUAGAACUUUUUAUGCCAAUAAUUUUGCCAUUUUAGGAAAUUUUUUCUCUCUUGAAAUACUUUGGAACCCGAGCCAGAUAAGUUGGCAGUUGUUUAUUUCUGACUGUCUUGUGCUGUAGAUAGAUUUUCAUUUCACUGAACAGCAGCGGCGUUGCCUGCGAUCAGUCUUUGAUGACUAUUGGACGAUUGCAGCACAGUUGCUAGCAAACAGAAAGUGAACAACUUCCAACUUAUCUGAUGUGAUUUCUAUUCGUAGGUCAUUAGUCAAUUUGACAUCAAAUCAACUAUUUUCGCGCAGGAAAAUAAUCUAAGUGGGAUUGAUGAUGAACGUGUUAUCAUUCCUAUCUUAUAGCUUGAAUUGAUGUAAAUUAGCCGUUAUUCCCCUCAGACCCAUUUUAUUGUCCUGAAAAUCUGCUAGGUUGUUAGAGUGAUAUAAUCUUUUUGGUCAUUAGAUGUAAGUACAUUUUCCAUGGUUAACCCUCAGUCCCAUCAGUCGCCUACAUGUAAAGAGCAGUUUUGGCAAAUUUUCUAAGAAAAACCAGGUUUUUCUUUCCACGUUCACCGAGAGUUACUGUAUUUUUUUCAAAGUUAGUAGCAGAAGCUCUAAUAUACAGUCAAGCUGGGGACUCAUUUCAAAGACUCAUCUUUCUAGAAAUACCGUUUUGUCAUUUAGACAUUAAGUACAGUGUUUAUUAAUACUAUAUUUCGUUACCAUAAAUAUGAUAAGUCAUUCAAGUAAGUAAGCUCCACAACUUUAUCAUUCACAAAGUUUUGGAAUCAUGAUUUGAUCCAAGAAAGACUAUUUCUUACUUUUUUUAUUGUUCUUAUUAUUAAGUCCUGUAACUUUUACAAAAAGACGAUUAAAAUGAAACUUCAUGAUUAAUUUUUCUCUUUUUUAUUUUCUCCUGUUCGUUGAAACAUGGGUACCUCAGAUGUUUCCGUAACUUUACAAUCACUUUGCCUCCCCACAAAAUGCAAACAAAAGGAUUUCAUACUCUGAAGAGAUGUAAUAAUUGCUAUUGAUUUGUUUCAAGUGAUUAUUUUGCAUCGAUCAAUUAGUUUUAAGCAUACAAAUAGUCCAUGGGCAAUUCAAAUGUCUGUGAACAAUACUGGGGUGCAGAAAAUUUUUCAAUUUUUUGUGCCUGUGUGUGAAAGGCUAUAUUAUACUCCAAGGUUGAUGAAAAUAAGAAUCCUCCUCUGAGAUUUGAACAUUUAUUAACAACAACAGAAAAAUUUACAGAUAAGACUUCUUAAAUUGAAUUGCUACAUGACUUAAAUAAAUUGU
Molecule: long non-coding RNA, 3796 nt
Filed under: Bemisia tabaci
Lineage: Eukaryota; Metazoa; Arthropoda; Insecta; Hemiptera; Aleyrodidae
Description: lncRNA ENSSSA2NGG003321
Source: RNAcentral